Molecule: transfer RNA, 74 nt
Organism: Vagococcus penaei
Lineage: Bacteria; Bacillati; Bacillota; Bacilli; Lactobacillales; Enterococcaceae
Rfam family: tRNA
About the family: Transfer RNA (tRNA) molecules are approximately 80 nucleotides in length.
Source: Rfam
CGCGGAGUGGAGCAGUCUGGUAGCUCGUCGGGCUCAUAACCCGAAGGUCGUAGGUUCAAAUCCUGCCUCCGCAA